RNAcentral lists this ribosomal RNA (92 nucleotides) under uncultured bacterium. RNAcentral describes it as "partial 16S ribosomal RNA". It matches the Rfam family "Bacterial small subunit ribosomal RNA", at positions 1394 to 1482 of the family's 1533-position model. The record is from RNAcentral.
CCGCCGUCACACCACGAAAGUCGUUUGCACCAGAAGUCGCUGAGCUAACCGCAAGGAGGCAAGCGCCCAAGGUGUGUGCGAUGAUUGGGGUG